RNAcentral lists this ribosomal RNA (465 nucleotides) under uncultured bacterium. RNAcentral's name for it is "partial 16S ribosomal RNA". It matches the Rfam family "Bacterial small subunit ribosomal RNA", at positions 28 to 507 of the family's 1533-position model. The record is from RNAcentral.
GACGAACGCUGGCGGCGUGCUUAACACAUGCCAGUCGAACGGAAGGGCCCUGCUUGCAGGGUACUCGAGUGGCGAACGGGUGAGUAACACGUGGGUGAUCUGCCCUGCACUUCGGGAUACGCCUGGGAAACUGGGUCUAAUACCGGAUAGGAGCCAUUUUUAGUGUGAUGGUUGGAAAGUUUUUUCGGUGUAGGAUGAGCUCGCGGCCUAUCAGCUUGUUGGUGGGGUAAUGGCCUACCAAGGCGGCGACGGGUAGCUGGCCUGAGAGGGUGGACGGCCACAUUGGGACUGAGGGGCGGCCCAGGUUGCUAAGGGAGGAAGCAGGGGGGAAGAUUGAACAAUGGGCGCAAGCCGUAUGCAGCGAGGCCGCGGGGGGGAUGACGGCCUUCGGGUUGUAAACUCCUUUCGCUAGGGACGAAGCUUUUUGUGACGGUACCUAGAGAAGAAGCACCGGCUAACUACGUG